UACGAAGGGGGCUAGCGUUGCUCGGAAUCACUGGGCGUAAAGGGCGCGUAGGCGGCCAUUCAAGUCGGGGGUGAAAGCCUGUGGCUCAACCACAGAAUUGCCUUCGAUACUGUUUGGCUUGAGUUUGGUAGAGGUUGGUGGAACUGCGAGUGUAGAGGUGAAAUUCGUAGAUAUUCGCAAGAACACCAGUGGCGAAGGCGGCCAACUGGACCAACACUGACGCUGAGGCGCGAAAGCGUGGGGAGCAAACAGG
Molecule: ribosomal RNA, 253 nt
Filed under: uncultured bacterium
Lineage: Bacteria
Also listed under: 1 other name
Description: partial 16S ribosomal RNA
Rfam family: Bacterial small subunit ribosomal RNA
Source: RNAcentral